CCACGUGCAGGGAGAACCUAGGCCGGCUCGAAACCGGCCGGCCACGUGCAGGGAGAACCUAGGCCGGCUCGAAUCCGGCCACGUGCA
This 87-nucleotide transfer RNA is filed under the name Actinoplanes sp. L3-i22. RNAcentral's name for it is "tRNA-Ser". The record is from RNAcentral. Lineage: Bacteria; Bacillati; Actinomycetota; Actinomycetes; Micromonosporales; Micromonosporaceae.